GGCCCCAUCGUCUAGAGGUCUAGGACGUCGCCCUCUCACGGCGGUAGCGCGGGUUCGAAUCCCGCUGGGGUCA
This 73-nucleotide transfer RNA is filed under the name Tropheryma whipplei. RNAcentral describes it as "tRNA-Glu". It matches the Rfam family "tRNA". From Rfam's summary of the family: Transfer RNA (tRNA) molecules are approximately 80 nucleotides in length. Their secondary structure includes four short double-helical elements and three loops (D, anti-codon, and T loops). RNAcentral also lists the same sequence under 2 other names. The record is from RNAcentral. Lineage: Bacteria; Bacillati; Actinomycetota; Actinomycetes; Micrococcales; Tropherymataceae.